Molecule: ribosomal RNA, 468 nt
Filed under: uncultured bacterium
Lineage: Bacteria
Description: partial 16S ribosomal RNA
Rfam family: Bacterial small subunit ribosomal RNA
Source: RNAcentral
GAUGAACGCUGGCGGCGUGCUUAACACAUGCAAGUCGAACGGAAAGGCCCUGCUUUUGUGGGGUGCUCGAGUGGCGAACGGGUGCGUAACACGUGAGUAACCUGCCCUUGACUUUGGGAUAACUUCAGGUAACUGGGGCUAAUACCGGAUAGGAGCUCCUGCUGCAUGGUGGGGGUUGGAAAGUUUCGGCGGUUGGGGAUGGACUCGCGGCUUAUCAGCUUGUUGGUGGGGUAGUGGCUUACCAAGGCUUUGACGGGUAGCCGGCCUGAGAGGGUGACCGGCCACAUUGGGACUGCGAUACGGCCCAGACUCCUACGGGAGGCAGCAGUGGGGAGUAUUGCACAAUGGGCGGAAGCCUGAGGCAGCAACGCCGCGUGCGGGAUGACGGCCUUCGGGUUGUAAACCGCUUUCGCCUGUGACGAAGCGUGAGUGACGGUAAUGGGUAAAGAAGCACCGGCUAACUACGUG